Molecule: transfer RNA, 72 nt
Filed under: Pectobacterium bacteriophage PM2
Lineage: Duplodnaviria; Heunggongvirae; Uroviricota; Caudoviricetes; Pantevenvirales; Straboviridae
Rfam family: tRNA
About the family: Transfer RNA (tRNA) molecules are approximately 80 nucleotides in length. Their secondary structure includes four short double-helical elements and three loops (D, anti-codon, and T loops). Further hydrogen bonds mediate the characteristic L-shaped molecular structure. tRNAs have two regions of fundamental functional importance: the anti-codon, which is responsible for specific mRNA codon recognition, and the 3' end, to which the tRNAs corresponding amino acid is attached (by aminoacyl-tRNA synthetases). tRNAs cope with the degeneracy of the genetic code in two manners: having more than one tRNA (with a specific anti-codon) for a particular amino acid; and 'wobble' base-pairing, i.e. permitting non-standard base-pairing at the 3rd anti-codon position.
Source: Rfam by way of RNAcentral
GGCCCUUUAGCUCAGAGGUAGAGCAGGCAACUCAUAAUUGCUCGGUCGCUGGUUCGAAUCCGGCAAGGGUCA